UAGGAGCAACAAUAAUCACCUGUGCUGGCUGCAGCAAUCAGCCACAGGUGAAUGAGAUCCCCAAAUCAGGUCUCCCAUGAAGGGAAGGAGAGGUCAUUGCUGAGUUUGCUCUCCAAAGGACGACACCUGCUCCACCUUUCUUUGCUGAGUGCGUCCACAUGAAAAACCACUUGACAAAUUAAGGAAAAAACCUGAGCUAAUAAAAACCUUAAAGUGGAAUUAUCUCGCUGCCUUCAUUGCCAUGCCUCAACUCAACUUUUGAUGUCAAUGAGCUUCAGCCCUCAACAUUUAGGUUACACCUAAAACAGUUACAGAAUAAUGACCUGACACUGGCCUGCAAAAUAUUGUGUUGGGAUUAUCUUCUGGGGGUCAUGAAUGCCUGUUUGUUUGCAUUGAUACAGGUGGUGUAGAAGUAAAGUCAUAGAAUCAUCGAAAGCUUAUAUGGAAAUAUGGUA
Molecule: non-coding RNA, 455 nt
Organism: Labrus bergylta (ballan wrasse)
Lineage: Eukaryota; Metazoa; Chordata; Actinopteri; Labriformes; Labridae
Source: RefSeq, a predicted model, not a curated record